CUUGGCACCUGGUAAGCACUCAGUAAGUAUUUGAUGAGUGCCUACUGUGUGCCAAGACA
Molecule: microRNA precursor, 59 nt
Filed under: Mus musculus (house mouse)
Lineage: Eukaryota; Metazoa; Chordata; Mammalia; Rodentia; Muridae
Description: Mmu-Mir-1271_pre stem-loop
Source: RNAcentral